GACAGAGGUGCCGAGCGUUAGGCGGAAUUACUGGGCGUAAAGCGCACGCAGGCGGUUCGCCAAGUUUGGGGUGACAGUUGUCGGCUCAACCGACAAAGGACUUCAAAAACUGGUGAACUUGAGGACGAGAGAGGAACAUGGAACUCCAGGUGUAGUAGUGAAAUGCGUAGAUAUCUGGAAGAACACCAAUGGCGAAGGCAAUGUUCUGGCUCGUUUCUGACGCUCAGGUGCGAAAGCCAGGGGAGCGAACGGG
RNAcentral lists this ribosomal RNA (253 nucleotides) under uncultured bacterium. RNAcentral's name for it is "partial 16S ribosomal RNA". It matches the Rfam family "Bacterial small subunit ribosomal RNA", at positions 524 to 776 of the family's 1533-position model. The record is from RNAcentral.